RNAcentral lists this ribosomal RNA (433 nucleotides) under uncultured bacterium. RNAcentral's name for it is "partial 16S ribosomal RNA". It matches the Rfam family "Bacterial small subunit ribosomal RNA", at positions 29 to 507 of the family's 1533-position model. The record is from RNAcentral.
AACGAACGCUGGCGGCAUGCCUAACACAUGCAAGUCGAACGAGACCUUCGGGUCUAGUGGCGCACGGGUGCGUAACGCGUGGGAACCUGCCCUUAGGUUCGGAAUAACUCCCCGAAGGGGGUGCUAAUACCGGAUAAUGUCUUCGGACCAAAGAUUUAUCGCCUUUGGGUGGGCCCGCGUUGGUUUAGCUAGUUGGUAGGGUAAAAGCCUGCCAAGGCGACGAUCCAUAGCUGGUCUGAGAGGAUGAUCAGGCACACUGGGACUGAGACACGGCCCAGACUCCUACGGGAGGCAGCAGUGGGGAAUAUUGGACAAUGGGCGAAAGCCUGAUCCAGCAAUGCCGCGUGAGUGAUGAAGGCCUUAGGGUUGUAAAGCUCUUUUACCCGGGAUGAUAAUGACAGUACCGGGAGAAUAAGCUCCGGCUAACUACGUG